UUUAAGUUAACUAUGACUUUCCGUUCCAACUUUAAUCGUCCAUCUUAUUUGAAAUUUUUUUUAUAAUUAGUAUUUUUUGUUAUUAUGAGAUGAUAAAAUAUGAAUAGCACUUUAUUCGUGACUUAUGUUUUUAAUUUUUUUUUAAAAAAAUUUAAAUAAAACGGAUAAUCAAAAUUAGGAAAAAAAAUAGCUUCACUUAAA
Molecule: non-coding RNA, 201 nt
Organism: Oryza barthii
Lineage: Eukaryota; Viridiplantae; Streptophyta; Magnoliopsida; Poales; Poaceae
Source: Rfam